RNAcentral lists this ribosomal RNA (573 nucleotides) under Bacillus thuringiensis. Its description in RNAcentral is "bacterial SSU rRNA". It matches the Rfam family "Bacterial small subunit ribosomal RNA", at positions 95 to 653 of the family's 1533-position model. Lineage: Bacteria; Bacillati; Bacillota; Bacilli; Caryophanales; Bacillaceae. The record is from RNAcentral.
GCGGCGGACGGGUGAGUAACACGUGGGUAACCUGCCCAUAAGACUGGGAUAACUCCGGGAAACCGGGGCUAAUACCGGAUAACAUUUUGAACCGCAUGGUUCGAAAUUGAAAGGCGGCUUCGGCUGUCACUUAUGGAUGGACCCGCGUCGCAUUAGCUAGUUGGUGAGGUAACGGCUCACCAAGGCAACGAUGCGUAGCCGACCUGAGAGGGUGAUCGGCCACACUGGGACUGAGACACGGCCCAGACUCCUACGGGAGGCAGCAGUAGGGAAUCUUCCGCAAUGGACGAAAGUCUGACGGAGCAACGCCGCGUGAGUGAUGAAGGCUUUCGGGUCGUAAAACUCUGUUGUUAGGGAAGAACAAGUGCUAGUUGAAUAAGCUGGCACCUUGACGGUACCUAACCAGAAAGCCACGGCUAACUACGUGCCAGCAGCCGCGGUAAUACGUAGGUGGCAAGCGUUAUCCGGAAUUAUUGGGCGUAAAGCGCGCGCAGGUGGUUUCUUAAGUCUGAUGUGAAAGCCCACGGCUCAACCGUGGAGGGUCAUUGGAAACUGGGAGACUUGAGUGCAGAG